RNAcentral lists this ribosomal RNA (527 nucleotides) under Ephoron shigae. RNAcentral's name for it is "SSU rRNA". It matches the Rfam family "Eukaryotic small subunit ribosomal RNA", at positions 620 to 1119 of the family's 1831-position model. The record is from RNAcentral. Lineage: Eukaryota; Metazoa; Arthropoda; Insecta; Ephemeroptera; Polymitarcyidae.
UAAAAAGCUCGUAGUUGGAUCUGUGUCUCGGACGGCCGGUGCGCCGCUCGCGGCGUACACUGACUGAUCCGAACGUCCUGCCGGUGGCCCCGUUUCGGCGGGGCCUGACUCCCUCCGCGCUGCUCUUAACCGGGCGGUUCGGUGGGCCGGCAAGUUUACUUUGAACAAAUUUGAGUGCUCAAAGCAGGCGACAAGUCGCCUGAAAACUGUGUGCAUGGAAUAAUGGAAUAGGACUUCGGUUCUAUUUUGUUGGCUUUUCUGAACCCGAAGUAAUGAUUAAUAGGGACAGACGGGGGCAUUCGUAUUGCGACGUUAGAGGUGAAAUUCUUGGAUCGUCGCAAGACGGACCGAUGCGAAAGCGUUUGCCAAGAAUGUUUUCGCUAAUCAAGAACGAAAGUUAGAGGUUCGAAGGCGAUCAGAUACCGCCCUAGUUCUAACCAUAAACGAUGCCAGCCAGCGAUGCGCCCGAGUUCCUCCGAUGACUGGGCGCGCAGCUUCCGGGAAACCAAAGCUUUUGGGUUCCGGGG